GCUGGGUGUGGUGGCGCGUGCCUAUAAUCCCAGCUACUGGGGAGGCUGAGACAGAAGAAUCGCUUGAACUCAGGAGGUGGACGUUGCAGUGAGCCGAGAUUGCGCCACUGCACUCCAGCCUGGGUGACAGAGUGAGACUCUGUCUCAA
Molecule: non-coding RNA, 148 nt
Filed under: Chlorocebus sabaeus (green monkey)
Lineage: Eukaryota; Metazoa; Chordata; Mammalia; Primates; Cercopithecidae
Source: Rfam by way of RNAcentral